GACGAACGCUGGCGGCGUGCUUAACACAUGCAAGUCGAACGGAAAGGCCCUGCUUUUGUGGGGUGCUCGAGUGGCGAACGGGUGAGUAACACGUGAGUAACCUGCCCUUGACUUUGGGAUAACUUCAGGAAACUGGGGCUAAUACCGGAUAGGAGCUCCUGCUGCAUGGUGGGGGUUGGAAAGUUUCGGCGGUUGGGGAUGGACUCGCGGCUUAUCAGCUUGUUGGUGGGGUAGUGGCUUACCAAGGCUUUGACGGGUAGCCGGCCUGAGAGGGUGACCAGCUACAUUGGGACUGAGAUACGGCCCAGACUCCUACGGGAGGCAGCAGUGGAGAAUAUUGCACAAUGGGCGGAAGCCUGAUGCAGCAACGCCGCGUGCGGGAUGACGGCCUUCGGGUUGUAAACCGCUUUCGCCUGUGACGAAGAGUGAGUGACGGUAAUGGGUAAAGAAGCACCGGCUAACUACGUG
This 468-nucleotide ribosomal RNA is filed under the name uncultured bacterium. Its description in RNAcentral is "partial 16S ribosomal RNA". It matches the Rfam family "Bacterial small subunit ribosomal RNA", at positions 28 to 507 of the family's 1533-position model. The record is from RNAcentral.